RNAcentral lists this long non-coding RNA (486 nucleotides) under Polistes fuscatus (common paper wasp). RNAcentral's name for it is "uncharacterized LOC122520161". Lineage: Eukaryota; Metazoa; Arthropoda; Insecta; Hymenoptera; Vespidae. The record is from RNAcentral.
GUCGUCGUCGUCUUCGUCGUCGUCGAUCAGGAUUUAGCUGGAUUCGUGUAAUACCGUGAAGACGAUGUCGAUGAUAUUUUCACCUCUCCUUCUACGAUCACUUCUCCACGUGCCGUAAUUAAAAAGGGGCAAAAAAGAAAGUAAGUAAGAGAGAGAGAGUAGAAAUAGAAAAAAAGAAAAAAAUAACAUGAUCGAAGGUCUGUGUGAUCCAAUCGUAUUCGAUCAAGGUUUCAUAGACGAUAAGAAACUCACGGAAAGGACGGCUGGAUAAAUGAGAAGAAAUUAAGAUCUUGAUUUUUUACCACGUCGAAGACUCAAGAAGAAUCUCAUUGGUUAAGCAAGGGGGUUCGGAGUUAAGGAUGGGGUGAUCAAGAAAUAGAAGAAAGAAGAUUAUCACGAGAUCGCGUGAAAGCAUUUUCAUUGUGAGUUUUAGUCCGUGUUUUUUUUCUUUCUUUUAUUAUUGAUAAAGGACGAUGAGAUAGAAGU